UACGGAGGAGGCAAGCGUUAUCCGGAAUUAUUGGGCCUAAAGCAUCCGUAGCCGGCCUUACAAGUCCUCCGUUAAAUCCAGCUGCUUAACAGAUGGGCUGCGGAGGAUACUAUAAGACUAGGAGGCAGGAGAGGCAAGCGGUACUCAGUGGGUAGGGGUAAAAUCCGUUGAUCCAUUGAAGACCACCAGUGGCGAAGGCGGCUUGCCAGAAUGCGCUCGACGGUGAGGGAUGAAAGCUGGGGGAGCAAACCGG
This 253-nucleotide ribosomal RNA is filed under the name uncultured bacterium. Its description in RNAcentral is "partial 16S ribosomal RNA". It matches the Rfam family "Bacterial small subunit ribosomal RNA", at positions 524 to 776 of the family's 1533-position model. The record is from RNAcentral.